Molecule: long non-coding RNA, 3032 nt
Filed under: Triticum aestivum (bread wheat)
Lineage: Eukaryota; Viridiplantae; Streptophyta; Magnoliopsida; Poales; Poaceae
Description: long non-coding RNA (TAES_LNC025327)
Source: RNAcentral
AAAAUUGCAAUUGCUGAUGCACUGAGUCAACUAUACAAAGGGCAAAAAUACCACUAAUAAUUACAGUGUAAAACCAUGGAAAAUGCACGGUAAUUCCACUAAAAAUACACUGUAAUUCCACUUGCAAAAUACAGAGCAAAAAUCCCUAAAAGUACACUAUAAAUCCACUAAGACUUACAAUGUAAAUUCCACUAAUAAUUACAGUGUAAAUACCAUGGAAAAUGCACAGUAAUUCCACUAAAAAUAGACUGUAAUUCCACUUGCAAAAUACAGAGCAAAAAUCCACUAAAAGUACACUGUAAAUCCACUAAGACUUACAAUGUAAAUUCCACUAAUAAUUACAAUGUAAAUACCAUGGAAAAUGCACAGUAAUUCCACUAAAAAUACACUGUAAUUCCACUUGCAAAAUACAGAGCAAAAAUCCACUAAAAGUACACUGUAAAUCCACUAAGACUUACAGUGUAGAUUCCACUAAUAAUUACAGUGUAAAUACCAUGGAAAAUGCACAGUAAUUUCACUAAAAAUACACUAUAAUUCCACUAAAAAUGCCACUUGCAAAUACAGGGCAAAAAUCCACUAAAAGUACACUGUAAACCCACAGAUUUACAGUGUAAAUUCCACUGUAAUUCCACUAAUAAUUACAGUGUAAACCCACUGAAAAUGCACUCUAAUUCCACUAAAAGUACACUGUAAAUUCCACUUAAAACACACAGAAGAAUUACACUGUAAUACCACUGAGAAAGUACUAAAUUUAACCCCAGAGAAGCACCACCAGAGAGGGCGAUUCCUCCAUGAUCAAGGACACGAACAUGGUUGGAGAAGCAAAAAAAUCACAGGUAAACACCCCCUCCUAUGCAUUCAUCAGCUCCUGUCGUCUCUCGUCUCUCUCCUGCCUGAACAGAUCUGGAAGAAAGAACAUACCUGUAGUGGAUAUUACAUAGGCUAAGUUAAGCACUAAAUCUACAUAGAUCGAAAAUAAGAACAUAAUCGUACAAAAGCUUGAACCAGGAGAAACUCUAGGAACAACUAGGAUAUGGUUGCAUGAAUUUGUAGUCUAUGAUCACAGGAAAACUGAAAACUAGAUGCCCAGAUCAUAGAUUUCUGAAUUUGCAGAAAUAAACACACUACAAGGAUCAAAACAAGCUCACGAAGCUAGCAAUUCCAUUUUAGGAAAACUAGUUAAAAACAUACAAGGGGGAAGAUUGCCCGAGUUGAGAGAAAAUAUGACUAUUUUCGCAAACUUUGGAAACUAAAAACCUAAACACUGUUAAGAAACCUUGAUUACUGGUUUUAGACACUUUCUACCCGUUCUUAAAUAGCUGUGACUGAAGGACUGAAUUUAAGUAACUUUGGAAGUGCAAACUACUAUGAUCUGAUGCUUGCUUACAUUGAAUAUUGAUAGGCAUUAACAUAAGCACUAAAAAAUGAAAUUAACAGAAAAAGGACAAACACAAUCAGGCUAAAAACAUUCACACUAGAAGGCACUCACACUAGUAGCAACAAACAAAAAGAAUCUAUAGAACUGAUAACAUAUUUACAUUUCAGAACUAAAAGGACAAAUUUGUGACCGUUAGAUCAAAUUACUGGGACCUAUUACAAAAUUACUCUGCAUUUAUUUACAGUUCAGAAUUGAAUACUUGUUUGCAUUAAUAGAUAAUUUACUCAAACUACUGAAGGCAGAUGCCUACAAUCGACCAAAUGCAAUGAAAUGCAUCAUCAAAGGACAUGCGAUGUACCUCAAUGACGAGGUUGAUUUCCUUAACAUAUGGCUUUCUAAUAGCAGAAAAAAAAUCCUGAAAACAAAAAACAUUAUUAAAAACAUGCUUUCUCUAACUAGUUUCUUGACAAAUAACAGAGUGGGUCAUACGCUUUUACCGAGCUACUUCAGGCGCAAAUGAUGUACAAGGUUUGCAUUGCAAAAAAAUCAUAGAAAACUAAAAUAGGGAAAAUCUACCAACACUAGUCAUCUGCUAAUGAUAUUCAGUUUAACGUAGUGUGUUGGAAAAAAGGGAAAAUUCAGAGUAGAUCACUGUAACUUACACACUCCUGAAGUUACAAGCCAAUGGAACAAAACACUCAAAAUUGCAGUGUAAGACAGACUAAUAAAAGAGUGAAACUACAGUCCGAAUCACCGUUACUUUUCUGAAAAUAUUCAGUCCACAUCACUGUCCAAUUAACUCAAAGUUACAGUCCAAAUCACUCACCAAAACAGUAAAAAUUACAGUACAACGCAUUGUUACUUGACUUGAAAAAUUCAAUCUACAUCACUAUCCUAUUCACUCAAAGUUACAGUCCAAAUCACUACUCAAAACACUGAAAAUUGCAGUCCAAAUCAUUGUUACUUAACUGAAAAAAUUCAGGCCAUGUCACUAUCCAAUUCACUCACAGUUACACUCUAAAUCACUAACCAAAACCACUAAAAAUUAGAGUCCAAAAUUUCUACUAAACUGAAAAAAAUCAGUUCACGAAAUACACAUCACGAGACUGAACCCACCAAGAGGGUCAGCAUUUGUAUCCCAGCCAUCUACAUAAGACACAUACCAGACGAACGACAACCUACCAAACUAGCAGAUGACAAAGGGAUCAGUGUACUUCUAGUCUAAAUUUAAUGUGAAUAUCAGUGAUCUACUCAAGGGGCAACACAAACCACAUACAUCUACACAAAAUAUGUGCGGGUAAUACAUGCAACUAACACAAACAACAAGAUCUGACCGAGAAAACUCUACACGCAACUAACAAACAGAUCUGACGAACGACACAAAUCGACGGGGAAAAAUAGUACCCGCGGUGGGGGAGGGAGGUGGCGUGGGGAGAUGCUGCAGACCUCCGGUGCGGCAGACGGAGGGGGCGGGGCAGCCGGACGCCGUACCACCAGCCUACUGAAUCGGGCGGCAAGGGGAGCUCCAAAUCGCCAUGGCUGUCUCACUCUCGCUCGACUCUGUUCCGGUUGUGUCUUCGAAAUGAGUAGGGAAACGAGGAGGAGGAGAACGGGCAACCACAACAACGCGAGCGAUAGCGAAGGAAGGGUACCG